RNAcentral lists this long non-coding RNA (304 nucleotides) under Callithrix jacchus (white-tufted-ear marmoset). Its description in RNAcentral is "lncRNA (ENSCJAG00000075498.1)". Lineage: Eukaryota; Metazoa; Chordata; Mammalia; Primates; Cebidae. The record is from RNAcentral.
UGUUAUUGUAUUUGUAAAAUGGUGCAUCUUUGUUUGAAAAUUGCUUAAGUUUUUGAAAUGUCUACCCAUCCAGCAUGAUUAAUGCGAUACAUACAGUGGAGCAGCAGAGUGAGUGGAGAAUUAGAGUCGGUGCCAGUUCACCUAGAGGCAUUUAUCUUUUCUUUUUCCCUGGUGCCUGCGCUGAGCCUGAGGAUCAGAAUGGAAAAGAGAACUACUGGGCUCCCUGCCUGGCUGCGAGUGCUGCUGAGCACACAGCCGCUACAAUAAUCUGUCAGUGCUGCUGCUGAUGCCUGCUGACACUACC